AUCCCGCACCCCCAGCCUGCCUCCCACCCUCCCCACCCGCGUCCCAGCCCCACGCACGAGGGGUUGGGGGGCUGCAAACGGGGGGGCCGGGGACAGCCGAGCCCUGCCCCAGCUCCCCCCAGCCCCCCCUCCGACCCCGCUGCCCCCAGCCCAGCUCCCCGCUCUCGGGGGUGCCGCCGCCGGGCCCGGGGGAGGCUGCAGCAGCGGCGGGGCCCCCGCUCCCCCCCGCAGGCAGCCCAGCGCCGCAGGCAGGCGCGGGGACGGGAGGAACGUGCCGGGGUUUGAGUUUCUGUUCCUAGAAGCUGCGGCCCUGCCCGCCCGGCAGCCCCCCACCCUGCCGGCUGGGAACGAGCUGCGGCUGGAAAGCUCUAGAAACAAAUUGCAGCUCCGGUGCCAAAGGCAACAGCAGCCUCGGCCAUGGCUAAUGCAGGCAGCGUUUUCCAUAGCAACAGGGCAGGAGGAUCCCGGCAGGCGCAGGGGCUGGGCGCCGGCCCCCGGACCCCUCGGCGGCGCAGAGCCGGAGCGCGGCGGUGGCAGCGGUGGCAGCGGCGGGGCCUCUCCUGGUGCUGAAGCUGUGAAGCUCCCCGGUGCCCGCCCGGCCCCCGCCCUCCGCCCCCCACCAUGCCGUCCAGCGGCGCCCUCGACGCCAGCAGCCCCGUGCCGGACCGCGAGGCGCUCGACACGCACAAGGUACGGCCCCGGCACCGCACGGGGACACGGGGACAUGGGGACACGGGUGGGGGGCUCCUGGCACCGCGGUCACCCCAUCAAAGCAGGAGCCAAGGCUGCAGGGGGGGCCCCUCCAGCUGCGCUCCCCCCCUGUGCUGCAGCAGCCUGGGGAGCGCGGAGCUGGGCGGCACGGGGGGGGCGCGAGGCUGAGCUGCAGCGGGGAUUAGUGGGGAUUGAGCUAUUUCUGGCAGUGGGGAGGGGGGGCCACAGGCAGGCUGCUCCCGCCCUGCUGGGGCGCGGGUGUCCCCUGCUUUGGGGCAUCCCCUGCUUUGGGGUCACAUCCCCUGCUUUGGGGUCGCAUCCCCGGCUUUGGGGUCGUGGCAGUGGAGUGGGAGGGCGCACGGGGCAUGGGGCAAUGGGAAGGGCACAUGAUGGGGUGGAAAUGGGGGCAUUUGGGGACAGGAGGGGACAACGCACGUGCGCUCAGGGCUCGCUGGGGUGGGGAGAGCAGCCAGCGGGCAGAGGAUGGGGUCAUGCGCCCCCGCUGCUGCCCCGGGCUGGGGGGUGGCACAGCCCCCAGGGAUUCACUGCGCCCAUCCCCAAAUCACCCGGUGCUUUGCCACGGUGCCACACGGGAUGGAGAGGGGCUGAGCAGUGGCCGGCAGAGCAGGGUGGGGGCUGCAGGUGCCACACGGAUGGAGGGGCUGUGCUGGGUUUUGGGGUGCCCGGGGACGGUCCCCAGCCAAACCCAGGCGUUGUGGCAGCUCCGGCCAUGGCCUUGGUGCUCCUCGGUGUCCCCGCAGCACAAGGACGAGCGGGGCCAGCCCGAAGCUGGGUGGCUGCUCCCUCCACGGGGGAGGCAUCGCGCUUCCUCGGGGAAGCAGCAGCGUCCCCGGGGCGCUGGGGACACGGCCUGCCCCGGUCACGGCGUGGGGACUGGGGCAGCCGGCCAGCUGGAUGCCAGCCUGCCGCAGGCGCUGCGGGGUUGGGGUCAGCCGAGUUCCUCCGGGCUCCCUCGGCUGUGGCGGCCACGCGGUGCCUCCCUGGUGCCUCCUGACAUUUGGGGGUGCUGCAUGGGGCAUUUUGGGGUCUCCAUCCCCUCCGGGUCAUAGCACGGUGCUCAGACCGGUGCCAUGGCAGGGCCAGCUGGUGUGCCCGCUGCUGUCCCCGUCCUUCAUGCCAGUGGGACCCCAGUGGGGUGCCAGCGCUGUGCUGGGGCUCUGCCUCGCCAAACGGGGACCCUGCAAGCCCCCGGGCUGGCUGCAACCGUGCUGGGCUGAGCUGUCCCAGCCUGACCCCGCCGGGCUGCGGCACCACAAGCGGGGAGGUCACCUCUGCAGGAGGGACACGCUGCCGUGGGGCUGAGCCACGCCGCUGCCAUCGGCACCGCGCCAACGAGGCUCAGCCAGGGGCUUCCUGCACCCCAUCCCCACCCCACCCCGCCGUGCUGCUGCCCCCCCCUGCCUCUGCCAGCCCCGCUGCAGCCGGGAGCUGGGACCCGGCGGCGCUGCAGCGGCAGCACUGCGUCAUGCAGCAGCUUCUCCCCUCGGAGGUGGUUUCCCUCCGGGUUGUUGCUUGGCAGCGGCGGAGGAGCGCUGCGCCGCGCUGCGGGGACGUGCCAGGCUCCUCGGCGAGCCCCGGGGAGAUGAGGAGCGGGGUGAUUUAUGGGGAGAUGACUCAGCUCCCAGCACAGGCUGGAGGCAGCGAGGGGCUGCAGCAGCAGGCGGGGGGGUUGUGGGGGGGGCGCGCAGCCCCCGGUUCUUUCUGCCAGCCUCCCUUGCUCUUGGGGCUGCCUCCCUGCGCCUCCUUUCCCUGCCUGGAUUUUUGGAGUGCGGGCGCUGCCCUGGGGGUCCCUGCAGCCCCCCAUUGCUGUGGCAGACUCUGUGCCCCCAGCCUGGCAGUGCAGGGAUGGGGCUGAGCCCCACGGUGGGGCUGCCCCACACUUAUAGGGCCGGGCAGGGAGCAGUGGGGCCGGCUUGUGGGGUGCAUGUGGGGGCUCUCCAUGGGGGGUAUCCCCACCUCCCCUUGCUGCAGCAUCCCUUGAGCGGGCGUGCAGC
Molecule: long non-coding RNA, 2726 nt
Filed under: Anas platyrhynchos platyrhynchos (common mallard)
Lineage: Eukaryota; Metazoa; Chordata; Aves; Anseriformes; Anatidae
Description: lncRNA (ENSAPLG00000024363.1)
Source: RNAcentral